RNAcentral lists this long non-coding RNA (257 nucleotides) under Rosa chinensis. RNAcentral describes it as "sRNA RchiOBHm_Chr4g0391401". Lineage: Eukaryota; Viridiplantae; Streptophyta; Magnoliopsida; Rosales; Rosaceae. The record is from RNAcentral.
UUUGGGUGAAUCAUGGAGCCAUCGUAUUUUGUUUGAUGAUUUCAUUUCUGGUUAUUGAUUUUGCUGGGAUAUAGAGUUGGUCAAAAGAAAUUGAAAAAAGGUCAAUACUUUUUGUCCAUGGAAUGGAUUGAAUCAUUGAAUAGGAAGCCUCAUUGACCCAAAAAGGUCAAUACUUUUUGUCUUGGUUUCAUUGUCUUAAUUUUGAUUUCAUUCUCUAUCUCACGGUCAAAGUUUCUGCUUUUUUUUUUUCUUUUUUU